Molecule: ribosomal RNA, 588 nt
Filed under: Triticum aestivum (bread wheat)
Lineage: Eukaryota; Viridiplantae; Streptophyta; Magnoliopsida; Poales; Poaceae
Description: partial small subunit ribosomal RNA
Source: RNAcentral
AUGGGGCAGGCGGCCCUGACUCCUCUUUCCUCGCCGGCGGUCAGGUGGACCGCUUCUCCUUUGGCUGUGGCAGCGCCCGCGCCUUUUGUGGCGUUGGGGGAGGGGGGUUUGGGGCAGGCAGCCCUGACUCCUCCUUCCUCGUCGGCGGUCAGGAGAUCCGAGCCUCCUCCCAGUGUACCCGUUGCUAUGGGUCUCGGAUUGGGGCACUUGUCCGAGGGGUAUGGGAGCCCGCAGCCGCCUCUUCCUGUAUCCUUGGUUGACCCUUCGCGGGUGUCAGCGCGAGGAGUUACUAGGGAGGAGGUCGUUGCUUUUGGCGGGAUCCCGGACCCGGCCUCGACGGGGAGGCGGAUGAGUGCUCGCAUUCAGGAGCUUCCGGAGGUUGAUGACAUGCAGCAGAGGUGCGCUAUGAGGGCGGCCAAGCUUCAUGAUGCUGCGAUCUCUACUGGUUAUUUUCCGAGCCACGGCCGUGAUCCGUUCAUGGUCGCUACUCACUCCGAUGGAGGCCAGGGAGCAUUUGGUUACUGGAUCUAUCCGCUGGGAGAUGGUAGCUCGGGAUAUCUUCAACCGGUUUGGAUGGCGGUCAUGUAA